UACAGAGGUCCCAAGCGUUGUUCGGAUUUAUUGGGCGUAAAGGGUGCGUAGGCGGCGGAGUAAGUUGGGUGUGAAAUCCCGGGGCUCAACCUCGGAAUUGCAUUCAAUACUGCUUCGCUUGAGUACUGGAGAGGAGGCUGGAAUUUACGGUGUAGCAGUGAAAUGCGUAGAUAUCGUAAGGAAGGCCGGUGGCGAAAGCGAGCCUCUGGACAGUUACUGACGCUGAUGCACGAAAGCCAGGGGAGCAAACGGG
Molecule: ribosomal RNA, 253 nt
Filed under: uncultured bacterium
Lineage: Bacteria
Description: partial 16S ribosomal RNA
Rfam family: Bacterial small subunit ribosomal RNA
Source: RNAcentral